CAGUCGCCGCGGUAAUACGGAGGGAGCUAGCGUUGUUCGGAAUUACUGGGCGUAAAGCGCACGUAGGCGGCUUUGUAAGUUAGAGGUGAAAGCCUGGAGCUCAACUCCAGAACUGCCUUUAAGACUGCAUCGCUUGAAUCCAGGAGAGGUGAGUGGAAUUCCGAGUGUAGAGGUGAAAUUCGUAGAUAUUCGGAAGAACACCAGUGGCGAAGGCGGCUCACUGGUCCAUUACUGACGCUGAGGUGCGAAAGCGUGGGGAGCAAACAGGAUUAGAUACCCCAGUAGUCCCUGUCUCUUAUAC
Molecule: ribosomal RNA, 301 nt
Filed under: uncultured bacterium
Lineage: Bacteria
Description: partial 16S ribosomal RNA
Rfam family: Bacterial small subunit ribosomal RNA
Source: RNAcentral